RNAcentral lists this ribosomal RNA (482 nucleotides) under uncultured bacterium. RNAcentral's name for it is "partial 16S ribosomal RNA". It matches the Rfam family "Bacterial small subunit ribosomal RNA", at positions 28 to 507 of the family's 1533-position model. The record is from RNAcentral.
GACGAACGCUGGCGGCGUGCUUAACACAUGCAAGUCGAACGCUGAAGCUCAGCUUGCUGGGUGGAUGAGUGGCGAACGGGUGAGUAACACGUGAGUAACCUGCCCUCUUCUUUGGGAUAACGCCCGGAAACGGGUGCUAAUACUGGAUAUUCACUGAUUCUCGCAUGGGGGUUGGUGGAAAGGUUUUUUCUGGUGGGGGAUGGGCUCGCGGCCUAUCAGCUUGUUGGUGGGGUGAUGGCCUACCAAGGCUUUGACGGGUAGCCGGCCUGAGAGGGUGACCGGUCACAUUGGGACUGAGAUACGGCCCAGACUCAUACGGGAGGCAGCAGUGGGGAAUAUUGCACGAUGGGCGAAAGCCUGAUGCAGCGACGCCGCGUGAGGGAUGGAGGCCUUCGGGUUGUAAACCUCUUUCGCUCAUGGUCAAGCCGCAGCGUUGGGUUGUGGUGAGGGUAGUGGGUAAAGAAGCGCCGGCUAACUACGUG